This 274-nucleotide ribosomal RNA is filed under the name uncultured bacterium. RNAcentral's name for it is "partial 16S ribosomal RNA". It matches the Rfam family "Bacterial small subunit ribosomal RNA", at positions 523 to 796 of the family's 1533-position model. The record is from RNAcentral.
AUACGGAGGGUCCGAGCGUUAAUCGGAAUUACUGGGCGUAAAGCGCGCGUAGGUGGUUAGACAAGUCAGAUGUGAAAGCCCCGGGCUCAACCUGGGAACUGCAUUUGAAACUGUUUGGCUAGAGUAUGGUAGAGGUGAGUGGAAUUUCAGGUGUAGCGGUGAAAUGCGUAGAGAUCUGAAGGAACAUCAGUGGCGAAGGCGACUCACUGGGCCAUUACUGACGCUGAGGUGCGAAAGCGUGGGUAGCAAACAGGAUUAGAAACCCCAGUAGUCC